Molecule: transfer RNA, 61 nt
Filed under: Isonychia kiangsinensis
Lineage: Eukaryota; Metazoa; Arthropoda; Insecta; Ephemeroptera; Isonychiidae
Description: tRNA-Asn
Source: RNAcentral
UAAAUGAAGCCAAAGAGAGGCUUGUCACUGUUAAUGACAGAACUGGGUUAAACCCCAUUUA